UACGUAUGAGGCGAGCGUUGUUCGGAAUUAUUGGGCAUAAAGGGCGUGUAGGCGGGGGAUUAAGUUAGGUGUGAAAGCCUCGGGCUUAACCCGAGAAUUGCAUCUAAUACUGAUUCUCUUGAGUUCGGGAGAGGAGAGCGGAAUUCCCGGUGUAGCGGUGAAAUGCGUAGAUAUCGGGAAGAACACCAGUGGCGAAGGCGGCUCUCUGGCCACGAACUGACGCUAAGGCGCGAAAGCGUGGGGAG
RNAcentral lists this ribosomal RNA (245 nucleotides) under uncultured bacterium. Its description in RNAcentral is "partial 16S ribosomal RNA". It matches the Rfam family "Bacterial small subunit ribosomal RNA", at positions 524 to 768 of the family's 1533-position model. The record is from RNAcentral.